RNAcentral lists this ribosomal RNA (253 nucleotides) under uncultured bacterium. Its description in RNAcentral is "partial 16S ribosomal RNA". It matches the Rfam family "Bacterial small subunit ribosomal RNA", at positions 524 to 776 of the family's 1533-position model. The record is from RNAcentral.
UACGUAGGGUGCAAGCGUUGUCCGGAAUUAUUGGGCGUAAAGAGCUCGUAGGCGGUUCGUCGCGUCGGCUGUGAAAUCCCGAGGCUCAACCUCGGGUCUGCAGUCGAUACGGGCGGACUGGAGUUCGGCAGGGGAGACUGGAAUUCCUGGUGUAGCGGUGAAAUGCGCAGAUAUCAGGAGGAACACCGGUGGCGAAGGCGGGUCUCUGGGCCGAAACUGACGCUCAGGAGCGAAAGCGUGGGGAGCGAACAGG